AACGUACGCUGGCGGCACGCCUAACACAUGCAAGUCGAACGAAGUAGCAAUACUUAGUGGCAGAACGGGUGAGUAACAUGUAGGUAUCUGCCCUUUGGCCUGGAAUAACACGAGGAAACUCGUGCUAAUACCGGAUAAGUCUUUACGGAGAAAGCUUUAUGCACCAUUGGAUGAGCCUGCACUUGAUUAGUUUGUUGGUGGGGUAAUGGCCUACCAAGACUGUGAUCAAUAGCUGAUUUGAGAGGAUGAUCAGCCACAUUGGGACUGAGACACGGCCCAAACUCCUACGGGAGGCAGCAGUGGGGAAUCUUGCACAAUGGAGGAAACUCUGAUGCAGCGAUGCCGCGUGAGUGAAGAAGAGCCCUUGGGUUGUAAAGCUCUUUCGUCGGGGAAGAAAAUGACUGUACCCGAAUAAGAAGGUCCGGCUAACUUCGUGCCAGCAGCCGCGGUAAUACGAAGGGACCUAGCGUAGUUCGGAAUUACUGGGCUUAAAGAGUUCGUAGGUGGUUGAAAAAGUUAGUGGUGAAAUCCCAGAGCUUAACUCUGGAACUGCCAUUAAAACUUUUCAGCUAGAGUAUGAUAGAGGAAAGCAGAAUUUCUAGUGUAGAGGUGAAAUUCGUAGAUAUUAGAAAGAAUACCAAUUGCGAAGGCAGCUUUCUGGAUCAUUACUGACACUGAGGAACGAAAGCAUGGGUAGCGAAGAGGAUUAGAUACCCUCGUAGUCCAUGCCGUAAACGAUGUGUGUUAGACGUUGGAAAUUUAUUUUCAGUGUCGCAGGGAAACCGAUAAACACACCGCCUGGGGAGUACGACCGCAAGGUUAAAACUCAAAUGAAUUGACGGGGACCCGCACAAGUAGUGGAGCAUGUGGUUUAAUUCGAAGAUACGCGCAGAACCUUACCAACACUUGACAUGUUCGUCGCGACUCUAAGAGAUUAGAGUUUUCGGUUCGGCCGGACGAAACACAGGUGCUGCAUGGCUGUCGUCAGCUCGUGUCGUGAGAUGUUGGGUUAAGUCCCGCAACGAGCGCAACCCUCACUUUUAGUUGCCAUCAUUAAGUUGGGCACUCUGAAAGAACUGCCAGUGAUAAGCUGGAGGAAGGUGGGGAUGACGUCAAGUCCUCAUGGCCCUUACGUGUUGGGCUACACACGUGCUACAAUGGUAUCUACAACAGGAAGCAAAACUGCGAAGUUAAGCAAAUCCCUAAAAGAUACCUCAGUUCGGAUUGCACUCUGCAACUCGAGUGCAUGAAGCUGGAAUUACUAGUAAUCGUGGAUCAGCGUGCCACGGUGAAUGCGUUCCCGGGUCU
This 1308-nucleotide ribosomal RNA is filed under the name uncultured bacterium. RNAcentral's name for it is "bacterial SSU rRNA". It matches the Rfam family "Bacterial small subunit ribosomal RNA", at positions 28 to 1381 of the family's 1533-position model. The record is from RNAcentral.